This 460-nucleotide ribosomal RNA is filed under the name uncultured bacterium. Its description in RNAcentral is "partial 16S ribosomal RNA". It matches the Rfam family "Bacterial small subunit ribosomal RNA", at positions 338 to 795 of the family's 1533-position model. The record is from RNAcentral.
CCUACGGGAGGCAGCAGUGAGGAAUAUUGGUCAAUGGGCGAGAGCCUGAACCAGCCAAGUCGCGUGAAGGAUGACGGCCCUACGGGUUGUAAACUUCUUUUGUCAGGGAGCAAUUGAGUCCACGUGCGGGCUUAGCGAGAGUACCUGAAGAAAAAGCAUCGGCUAACUCCGUGCCAGCAGCCGCGGUAAUACGGAGGAUGCGAGCGUUAUCCGGAUUUAUUGGGUUUAAAGGGUGCGUAGGCGGAAUAUCAAGUCAGCGGUAAAAAUUCGGGGCUCAACCCCGUCGUGCCGUUGAAACUGAUGGUCUUGAGUGGGCGAGAAGUGUGCGGAAUGCGUGGUGUAGCGGUGAAAUGCAUAGAUAUCACGCAGAACUCCGAUUGCGAAGGCAGCAUACCGGGGCCCAACUGACGCUGAAGCACGAAAGCGUGGGUAUCGAACAGGAUUAGAUACCCCAGUAGUC